UGUACGCCUUCAUUCACAGGUACAAGGAACAGAUCUCUGUGACUUUGUGGUGGGAAAAGCCCUCACAUCCUUCUCUCAACGGAGCAGUCCCUUGAAGUGCUUGUUGCCAUGGCGAUUAAAUGUCAAUCAAGACAUCGCAGAGCUGUCUCGACUGGAUUUUACACCCACAUGUGCCGGCGCCGGGUCUUGCCCUUGCUUUUUUCUCUUUCCCCCAAACAUGUUACUAUAAGUCUCACUGGAGCGCAAGUGACCUCGAAAUCGACUGCUAAUGCAACUGUCAUCGCCUGCUGCCCGCCAAAGCCCACCAGGGUAGGUCUGGGGAGAGCAGCGGCGGCAGCAGCAGCAGCAGCAAAAGAAGGAGCGGGAGAGGAAGAAAGAGACAGAGGAGGAGUGUGGGAGCCGUGACAACAUCAUGGUAAAAGAGCCUUGUAGCAGAGGGAGCGGUACAAACAUAAGAGUGGAAGAGCAAACAGACGAGUGGCAGACAGGCGUCAUGAGGGGCGGGAGCAGCAGACGACUCAUGACGAAGACGUGUCACCGAGGUCACCCUGUGACAAGGCUGCACAUUGUAGCAUUGCAGUCAGCAGGUCAGACAGGUCGAUGCCUGAACUAGACGAUGUUUUCUACCUCACUGGAUGCAACCUGAUGCAUGUGAUUGCUUCUGCCACAGACGUGUUUGCACGGAAAGCAGUUUACAUACACAGCAAGCACGUGAAAAAAAAAAAAAAAACGCGACUUGUU
Molecule: long non-coding RNA, 741 nt
Organism: Poecilia reticulata (guppy)
Lineage: Eukaryota; Metazoa; Chordata; Actinopteri; Cyprinodontiformes; Poeciliidae
Source: RefSeq, a predicted model, not a curated record